AGGCAGCAGUUAGGAAUCUUCCGCAAUGGACGGAAGUCUGACGGAGCGACGCCGCUUGGAGGAGGAAGCCCUUCGGGGUGUAAACUCCUGAACUGGGGACGAAAGCCCUGUGUAGGGGGAUGACGGUACCCAGGUAAUAGCGCCGGCCAACUCCGUGCCAGCAGCCGCGGUAAUGCGGAGGGCGCGAGCGUUACCCGGAUUUACUGGGCGUAAAGGGCGUGUAGGCGGCCUGGGGCGUCCCAUGUGAAAGGCCACGGCUCAACCGUGGAGGAGCGUGGGAUACGCUCAGGCUAGAGGGUGGGAGAGGGUGGUGGAAUUCCCGGAGUAGCGGUGAAAUGCGCAGAUACCGGGAGGAACGCCGAUGGCGAAGGCAGCCACCUGGUCCACUUCUGACGCUGAGGCGCGAAAGCGUGGGGAGCAAACCGGAUUAGAUACCCUGGUAGUCC
Molecule: ribosomal RNA, 446 nt
Filed under: uncultured bacterium
Lineage: Bacteria
Description: bacterial SSU rRNA
Rfam family: Bacterial small subunit ribosomal RNA
Source: RNAcentral